AAGGAAAUUCUCAUCAUUUGGAAACUGUGAAGACAGUGUAGGACUAAAUAAAUCUCUUUCCCUUUCAAUGAAUAAAUUAUGUGAAUAUGUCUGACCGUUUUACCACUCACAGUUUUCCCGUUUAACCUGCAAUCUGACCUGGGUUUAUGCAGCGAGGAGAGCCACUGAUAGGCAAGUGGAGAUAGCUGGCCCUUUUUAAAAAAGAAACAAGCUAAGCGUUAAAGCGCAGCCAAAAUACUCGCUGCUUGAUAAGCUAGGUCUGUCAGAUUUUAUUGUGUGCCCGCCUUUGUUAGUGCGCAGCAGCAACAACAGCCUCCCUCCGCCUCCUCCUCACUCCGGAGCCUCCGUGAUUCCCGCCUAGCCGUGCAGCAGUGCGGUCCGCCGACGAAACGCCGGGGGGCGGCCGCUGCAUGCACGCAGGGCUCGGUGAUUCAGAGAGGCCCACCAGUGUAAUGAACUGGAACGACUCCUGCAAUUCCCAAUGGAGAUGUGGGGGUAGCGGUGGUGGAGAAGAGGGGACCGAGACCACCGCUGUGGCCGCUGAGAGAGGUCGUCAGCGGGUUAAAGUCCUCGACACAAACACUCAUUUAUCCGUCUGGCACGUUUCAGCGGCGAUAAAGACAAAGCAAUGGAGGACUGCUCCGUUAUGUUCAUUCAUGAAAGUAGAACCAUCCUAGCUUGCCAAAACGGCUACAUUUGUUCCUUUUUUUAACCUCUAAUAACGUGUUAAAACAAAUAAUAUACUCAUUUUCAUACGAAGUUUAACAGUUAGCUCACCUUAAUUAAUUAUUUAAAGCAAAUAUGUGUCUUUGUUCCCUUUACCGUUACAGGCUGGCCAGCCGACCGUUAGUUCACGUUCAGUGCAAAGUGCAAGUUCACUGCCAGGAGAAACUUCCAGAAUAAUCACGUUCAGCCAGUCAAUCACAGAAGCUAAAGCCACACUGUCGUUCAAUUUAACGUCUAAUUAAGUCGCCAUUAAGUUGUGUUGAACAGAAUUGGACAGGCAUUUACAAGGAAGCCUCGUUUCGACCUGUAUGUCAGAGGACGAUACGACACAAAUACUGUGCGGUAGUUUCUGUCUCGUUUGACUGCACUGCGAAACCAGCUCCUCGGGUAUCAAAUACAUGCAGCCUCCGGCGGGGGAGUCCAUGUUUAUUUUGUUUUUGAAGCAGCUUUUCUACACCUUCGGGGCGACCUUAUUACCCUGCGGUUGCCCGGCGUCUUCAUUUGCAUGUGUCCCCCCUUGUCAUGUCAGGGAAGCUGCUGUCACAGCAAAGAGGUGGCGGAUGAGGGGGGGGGAGGAUUUAACUGCAACUUUCUGGAGGAUGGCUCUGCGGGCUCUCUGUGGCGAGUUUGGCUAAACUUUACAGGGAGGUGAAGAGGUCAGCUGCUGAGGCGCCGACACCCAGAAGACAACCUGCUGAUCACUUCCAGCCUCGUCUGCCGCAACAGGUGCCGGAUCCGCUCCGGCUCGGCUCCUGCGAAUGAGAGAGGAGGAAUUUUUCAGUGCCCCGAUCCAAACCCAACAUCUGCCAAGGCGGCGGGAGACGGUGCACGGCGAGAGACACUGGCAGAGUGGCGUGUGUGCGACGAGGAAGAUUGUGUGUCUGCAUCCCACCCUCACCCCUCCCCACCGCCUCGCACACUGAGGCCCUGGCCACCGAGGUGUCAGCGGGUGCCAGACUGAAAGGCUGGCGAGACGACCUCACUUACUGUGCAGCUUGUACGCCCUCAGCCACAUUAUCUGCAGUCAUAACUGUGCGCGUGUCUCACUGUGUGACUGCAAGAUGAAAAGGGGGUGAAGCCAGCCAGGAAGCUCCCCUCCACCCCCAACCCCACCCGCCUCCCAGACAGAAUUUGGACUACUGUGCCGAGAUUACCCAGUAGCCUCCCUCCUCCUCCCCCAAAGCCUCCCGUGUCCGUUUGGCAGUAAGACGUGUCAGGGAUAAGAGAGAGAAAGUGUCUCCCCUGGGUGCUGUGCUCCAGCUAACCCAGAUUUUAUGCAGUGUGACACAGAGGAAGACACCGGCUCCUGCGCCGCGCUCGGAGCUGGCUGUCUGAACCCGGGCGGCCCCGCGAGCUCAAACAGCUUAAAUAACAGCCAGGCAGAGCAAGUCAGAGCAGGAGCCCAGAGAGGAGUCCAUUAUUGCCUGGAUUCGUUUUGGUGAGGCAAGUCCCACUCUCAACAGGGGCUUACGUAAGAGGAGUUCUUCCAAAUUAUAGCCAGCUUGUUAGUUUUGGUUAUUUUUUUUCUUCUUUAAAGAGAUUUAGAAGAGGUUGAAUCUGUGCCUUACUUGAUUUAUAAAUUUUGCUUUUGGUGUGUAUCCACUCUCAUUUCUACAAUAGACAGUGAUAACCUUUAACUGAAAAUAUUACAUUUUUUAGAUCAUUUUUUCUUACUUUCUUUAAAGGACUUUACAUAGCUUCCCUUACUAGUAAUAUUAAACUGUAGGACUUGGUUUAAUAAUUUUAGCUGUUAGAAUUUAGGCCCAUUCCUGCUGUCAGAACCGCUGUAAGUGGGUCAGGUUUGUGGGCCGCCUCGCUCGUGCACCUUCUCUGCUCUGCACACACACAUUUUCUAAAUUACUGAAAUCAGGGCUUUACGAAGGGCCCUUCAAAACAAUGUUCUUAAGCUACUUUGUAAUUAUUUGGCUUUCCAUUCAAAAGACCCGCUUGUGCCCAGGCUUUAACUUCCAAGUUAACAUCUCGAACUGUUGCCGCCAUAUUUCCACGCGAUGUUUGUUACCCAUCAUGCCAUCUGCUUCGUGCACCAGCAAAAAUAGAUAUCAGCAAAACACCCCAUACGAUGACGCCGCCACACCUUUCUAGUUUCACUUUCAGCAGCUUUCAAUCUAACAAAGGUACAUUUUUGAGCGUGUGGAGCCACUAAAUAACCCUGAGGUGGUAAAGUUGUGCUGGCGGAUAAGUUGAUUGUCUCUAAAAACCAUGAAAACUGUGAGAGAUCAGUUUCUCUGACAACUCUCCAUAUAUUAAGGUAUUUGUUCCUGAGACUAUUUGCAAACUGUAUUUUUUUUAAUGUUGCUUUUGGAAUAAUCUUCCUCUCUGAGUGGCCCUUUAGCUCAUGCAGUUACAUGACUCAUUUCCUUGUGGAUAAUAAUACUUUCACUUAGUAUUUUUACAAGAUAUUGUCCUUUUAUUCCGGGGUUGAUGCAUUUCAUGCUAAAACACGUUUAUAUAUCCGUGACGCACAAGCUGAUGGCUGGAAAUUCCCAUCCUGUUUUUACAUACAUUUGUAGUUUAUAGAAGCGCGCCAUGGCACCUUCACGGAUCUAGACAAACCAGACUUGAUUAGGACCAUCAUUCUCUUCCUGGUGUCUGUUGAUUUUUUUUUUUGUAUCAAAAGUUGAUUUGAAUUCACAAAAUGUUCCUCUACCGAACUCAAAUAGUGUGAAUUUUUCCAUCAGAAGUUUACAAUGUCAUGACAUCAUCACUGGUAGACAGUAAUCGUAGCGUAUGUACAUUUUUAACUUUAAAGAGAGUCAUAAAAUAUUCAGAAUUUAUUUGGUAAAUAAAAAUAACUGUGUUACUCUUAAUUGACCUAAUACAGAAAAUAUUUGAUCUGAUUAAAUGUUAGACUUUGACUGUAAUAAAAAAAAAAAAGACUUCAAAAAAACUAAGAUUUGUGAUGUUUGUCAAAAUGAUUUUUGCUUUUGUUUCUUUCAUAUCACUGAGGUUACUGCUAAAUAGUAUUUUUCUGGAAGAAAGCAAUGUUUAUGGAUUGAAAUGGCUGUAAACUUAAGGAAUAUUUUUUCCAAAACAGAAUAAAAAAUAAUCUGAUUGUCAUCAUAACUCAUUUUAGCAGCACUAUAAUAUUUAAACCAAAGACUCCUCUGCUUGUUGUCAGCUUUUGUGUGCAAACAGUGCAGAUUCAAAUUGUGCAAUAAGGAUUUUCCUGCAGUGAGGACUUGUAGACUUAGUGGUCUAACUUUAAUAAAGGUUAUUUAUUUGUAAUAUUUGCAAGACUUUUA
Long non-coding RNA from Xiphophorus couchianus (Monterrey platyfish), 3989 nucleotides. RefSeq lists it as uncharacterized. The record is from RefSeq and is a predicted model, not a curated record. The transcript has 2 exons. NCBI's taxonomy places the organism in Eukaryota, Metazoa, Chordata, Actinopteri, Cyprinodontiformes, Poeciliidae.